This 192-nucleotide ribosomal RNA is filed under the name Amanita sp. 'AUS10'. RNAcentral describes it as "Amanita sp. 'sp-AUS10' partial 28S ribosomal RNA". It matches the Rfam family "Eukaryotic large subunit ribosomal RNA", at positions 1 to 177 of the family's 3401-position model. The record is from RNAcentral. Lineage: Eukaryota; Fungi; Basidiomycota; Agaricomycetes; Agaricales; Amanitaceae.
UUGACCUCAAAUCAGGUAGGACUACCCGCUGAACUUAAGCAUAUCAAUAAGCGGAGGAAAAGAAACUAACAAGGAUUCCCCUAGUAACUGCGAGUGAAGCGGGAAGAGCUCAAAUUUGAAAUCUGGCAGUCUGUUUUUUCUUCUUUGGCUGUCCGAGUUGUAAUCUAGAGAAGUGCUUACCUGUGCUGGACC